Molecule: RNA transcript, 664 nt
Organism: Priapulus caudatus
Lineage: Eukaryota; Metazoa; Priapulida; Priapulimorpha; Priapulimorphida; Priapulidae
Gene name: cytochrome c oxidase copper chaperone-like
Exons: 3
Source: RefSeq, a predicted model, not a curated record
CGCAGUCUUACCGUAACUUCACGUCUUGUCCUUAGAUUCAUGUGUAGGUGAGAACAAACGCAGUUACAGUCCUAAAUAAUUUGUAGAUAUGGAAAAAUGCGACGGAAAGGCAAAGGAGUGUAAAGAGGAGGAACCAAAAAAGCUAAAACCAUGCUGUGCCUGCCCAGAAACAAAAAAGAUUAGGGAUGAGUGCAUAAUUCAAAAUGGAGAAGAGAACUGCCAACAUCUCAUUGAGGCUCACAAAGCCUGCAUGCGUUCAUUAGGAUUCAAAAUAUAGUGGGUCUGUCCAUACAUCAGCGCUUGUUGGUAAGUGUGUAGGUAGACUGUAGGUGGCUAGUCAGCAUCAUUGGCAAUUCAACAUGUUCAAGCAGGAAAUCACGUGCAAAUGUCUCGGCAACUGGAAACGAGGAUUACCUUGUUGGAUAAAUUUGGACACGUGAACAGAGUUAGCUGCUUUGGUUGUUUUUUAGUAGAAACCCCCAGAUGGUAUGUUUCAAUUGGCACAGUGUAUAACGUAUGAACUAAGGAAAUGUUGUUACCUAUGUGUGGCUUUUUUAUUCAAAACUCACAUAAAACUAUCUAGAUUUUCUAGAAAGUUACUGUUAUGUACAGCAAUAAUGUUUUAUAAUGUAAAAAAUUAAAGAGUUUAACUUGCUUUAUAUAA